Small nucleolar RNA from Hordeum vulgare subsp. vulgare (domesticated barley), 139 nucleotides. RefSeq annotates it as small nucleolar RNA Z247. The transcript has a single exon. The record is from RefSeq and is a predicted model, not a curated record. NCBI's taxonomy places the organism in Eukaryota, Viridiplantae, Streptophyta, Magnoliopsida, Poales, Poaceae.
CCGCUUGGAGAUGACGAACUGAUCUCCUACAUCAUCGCUGGUCUCGAUCUCGAGUACCAGCCACUCAUCUCCGUGCUCGACGCCCGAACUGCUCCAGUCUCCCUCGACGACUUAUUUGCUCAAAUGAGCAACUUCGACC